UGGAAAACUUACUUCCUUGGUUGAAAUUGAGGAGUUGCCACAAAAAGCCGUUGUUCAUAUUUCACUUACACAAGAUUCCAGUUCUGUUGCGUCCACUGAAACACUGUCAGAUGUAUCAUCCCCGGAACGUCUAAGCAGAUGGCCUCCAGGUUCUUUUCAAAUUCCCACAUUUGGAUUUGACGUUGAGCUGACACUUAGACAAGGGAAUACUGAAUUUGAGAAGACUGGAAGACCUCUUAAGUUGUCAAGAGACCAAAAGCACGAUAUUUUAGAAAAACUUGCAUCUGUUAUAUUUGGGUUCAAGGCUUACCCAAGCGACAAAGAGAUAGCAAUGGUAGCGGAGGCUCUUGUGGCUAAACAUCCCUGUUUAAAAGAAGCAGGAUCUACCACUGGAUGGAAUGGAUGGAAGAACAGCAUCAAGUUCAAAAUGGGCAAUUACAGGACCAAGAUGAGAAGGGCUGGAUGCCAAGAGGUCACUGUAAAUGCUGGAAAAAGAAGCCAAAGAAACCCAGAGAAUGAACCUUCCCACUCCAACAUCAAACGACCCAAGCGUGCAGAAGUAAACUUUCUGCCCAACUUUCCCCAAGGGGAGGAUCCCUCAAGUCUUGAACAUCUGAGGCAGGUAAUUGUUGAAGAAGUAAAGAAGACCGAGAGAAACCUACCUCUCAUUAGUAAGAUGAUGCAGACCACGUUUGCCUUGCGGAGAAAGACCAUAGUGAUGUCCUGCCCACCAGUCAAACAGCUCAUGGACCUCUGGCCUGCUCUUCAGAUGCAGUCUGAGGUAAUAUCUCUUUCACCUGUUUUUCCUUUGGUAAUGUGUUUCAUGUGUAGUUUUGCUUAAUUUGAUUAAUCUUUAAAUAAAUAAUUGAUGUUACUGUACUGUCUUUUUACUUUUGUUAAAUGUAGGUAUAUGCAGAGUUCCAGCGCAUAACAAACCAGAACCUGCCUAAUACAUUCUACGGAGAGCUUGAUCGGCACACUCCACGUUUGAUGACCUUAUUCAGGCAGAAGGCGUCCAAAACUGGAAGGACUUCAGAUGCUUUGGCUGCCAUUUUCAAAGUGCAUGAUGAACAGGAAUCACAUGAUGUGUACACAAGGCGUACCACUAUCCUACAUGCCCUUCCUGUAUAUCUGCGGGAGGAAAUCUCUGGAUUUUACAGAACAUGCGUGGAUGAUUUAGAGGAGCCAGAUGUCACAGAUGCAACGGUGGCCCUCCUUACAACCAUCAGCGAAAAUACCAUGAGUCCAGUCCACUACCACCC
This is a long non-coding RNA of Centropristis striata (black sea bass), 1262 nucleotides long. RefSeq lists it as uncharacterized. The transcript is spliced from 3 exons. The record is from RefSeq and is a predicted model, not a curated record. Lineage: Eukaryota; Metazoa; Chordata; Actinopteri; Perciformes; Serranidae.